RNAcentral lists this non-coding RNA (45 nucleotides) under Schistosoma margrebowiei. The record is from RNAcentral. Lineage: Eukaryota; Metazoa; Platyhelminthes; Trematoda; Strigeidida; Schistosomatidae.
AUCCAGCUGACGAGUCUCAAAUAGAACGGAUCGCGCGUCCUGGAU